This 433-nucleotide ribosomal RNA is filed under the name uncultured bacterium. Its description in RNAcentral is "partial 16S ribosomal RNA". It matches the Rfam family "Bacterial small subunit ribosomal RNA", at positions 29 to 507 of the family's 1533-position model. The record is from RNAcentral.
AACGAACGCUGGCGGCAUGCCUAACACAUGCAAGUCGAACGAUGCACGAGGGAGUUUUCUCGCUCCGGUGCAGUACCCGACGGGAGCGUCACUUGUGUGCGGUAUAACUCCCACUCUGGGAUACUCAUUCCGGACAAUGUCUUAGACCCAAAGAUAUACUGCCUUGGGAUGUCCCCGCGUUGGAUUAGCUUGUUGGCAGGGUAAAAGCCUACCCAGGCGACGUUCUAUAGCUGUUCGGAGAGGAUGAUCAGGCACACUGGGACUGAGACACGGCCCAGACUCCUACGGGAGGCAGGAGUGGGGAAUAUUGGACAAUGGGCGAAAGCCUGAUCCAGCAAUGCCGCGUGAGUGAUGAAGGCCUUAGGGUUGUAAAGCUCUUUUACCCGGGAUGAUAAUGACAGUACCGGGAGAAUAAGCUCCGGCUAACUCCGUG